Molecule: non-coding RNA, 71 nt
Organism: Ictidomys tridecemlineatus (thirteen-lined ground squirrel)
Lineage: Eukaryota; Metazoa; Chordata; Mammalia; Rodentia; Sciuridae
Source: Rfam
GGGGAUGUAGCUCAGUGGGAGAGUGCUUGCCUAGCACACAAGAGGCUCUGGAUUUGAUCCCCAGCACCCCA